RNAcentral lists this ribosomal RNA (583 nucleotides) under uncultured bacterium. RNAcentral's name for it is "bacterial SSU rRNA". It matches the Rfam family "Bacterial small subunit ribosomal RNA", at positions 338 to 916 of the family's 1533-position model. The record is from RNAcentral.
CCUACGGGAGGCAGCAGUGGGGAAUUUUGGACAAUGGGCGAAAGCCUGAUCCAGCAAUGCCGCGUGAGUGAAGAAGGCCUUCGGGUUGUAAAGCUCUUUUGUCAGGGAAGAAACGGUGAGGGCUAAUAUCUCUUGCUAAUGACGGUACCUGAAGAAUAAGCACCGGCUAACUACGUGCCAGCAGCCGCGGUAAUACGUAGGGUGCAAGCGUUAAUCGGAAUUACUGGGCGUAAAGCGUGCGCAGGCGGUUUUGUAAGUCUGUCGUGAAAUCCCCGGGCUCAACCUGGGAAUUGCGAUGGAGACUGCAAGGCUAGAAUCUGGCAGAGGGGGGUAGAAUUCCACGUGUAGCAGUGAAAUGCGUAGAGAUGUGGAGGAACACCGAUGGCGAAGGCAGCCCCCUGGGUCAAGAUUGACGCUCAUGCACGAAAGCGUGGGGAGCAAACAGGAUUAGAUACCCUGGUAGUCCACGCCCUAAACGAUGUCUACUAGUUGUCGGGUUUUAAUUAACUUGGUAACGCAGCUAACGCGUGAAGUAGACCGCCUGGGGAUACGGUCGCAAGAUUAAAACUCAAAGGAUUGACGG